This is an RNA transcript of Solanum tuberosum (potato), 3263 nucleotides long. It is a transcript of the gene named pentatricopeptide repeat-containing protein At5g40400, with no coding region annotated. The record is from RefSeq and is a predicted model, not a curated record. NCBI's taxonomy places the organism in Eukaryota, Viridiplantae, Streptophyta, Magnoliopsida, Solanales, Solanaceae. The transcript is spliced from 5 exons.
UGGCAACGAAUGCCAAGGGCGAAAAUUUGUUCCCGCAAACAAACGCAGCGCAGCAGAGCUUUUCACUCCUCUGCUCUGCCAAAUUUAAUUUUGUGGACAUGGUAGAACCAGAUUCUUCAAAUUUCAGUCUCCUUCGGUAAUCCUCUCUCUAUCUAUAUUCAAAUUUACUUUACUCGUUGAAGAAAUUAGCUCCAUUUUUCUUGAAUUUUCCCAUGAAUCUAACGCAAAAAUCAAUUAAAUCUACUUGUUCAAAUGGAGAAUUACUUAUUAGUUUCAAGAAUCUUCAUUCAAGACUGAAUUUUUCAUCAUCAAAUUGUGUCCAAAUUCUAACAGAUUAUAGUGGGUCUGCCAGACCCUUUUCAAACCCUCUGCAUAAUUUUCUACCUAAAACCCAAAACCCCCAAAACACAGUGAGUCUGAUAUGUUCAGCUCUAAAGAACAGAAACAAUGACCAUUUGUCCCUCCUUCAGAAAACCAUCCAAGAUAAUGGGCUUAUUAGUUAUUUCAGUGACAGUGAAAUCUCAAGGGUCCUGUUGAGAUGCCAGUCUGAUUCAUGCAGUGCUCUUAGUUUCUUUAACUGGGUCAAGAAUGAUUUGGGUGUGGAGCCUAACACUCGAAACUGCUGUCUUGUAAUUCAUAUACUGACUUGGACAAGGAACUUUUCACAAGCAAUGAAAUUUUUGUCUGAAUUGGUUAAUUUGAAGAGAGAUGGAAUGGAGAGUGUGGAUGUGUUUGAAAGUUUGCUUUCAUCUAGUGGUUUGUGUAAUUGGGACCCUGUUGUGUUUGAUAUGCUAAUUAAGGCUUUUCUCAAGGUGAACAUGGUGAAAGAUGGAUUUAGAGCGUUUAGAAAGACGGUGAAGCAUGGAAUGUACCCGAGUGUUAUUACUGUGAACUGCCUUUUAACUGGUCUUUCAAAGUUGAAUUAUAGCAAAAAAUGUUGGGAAGUUUAUGCUGAAAUGGAAAGAAUUGGAGUGCACCCGAAUUCGUGUACCUUUAAUAUAUUAACCCAUGUCUUGUGCAAGGAUGAAGAUGUGAACAAGGUUAAUGAAUUCUUGGAGAAAAUGGAAGAAGAAGGGUUUCAACCUGAUAUAGUUACAUAUAAUACUUUAGUUAGUAGCUAUUGUAGGAAAGGAAGAAUGAAAGAUGCAGUUCACUUGUAUCAAAUUAUGUACAUUAGAGAUGUAUCACCAGAUUUGUUCACAUAUACUUCUUUGAUAAAUGGCUUUUGUAAAAAGGGAAAUGUGAAAGAUGCUCAUCAGUUGUUUAUAAGGAUGGCUGACAGAGGGUUAAAACCAGAUGUUAUUUUGUAUAACACUCUUAUUUCUGGUUAUUGCAAAGAGGGGAUGAUGCAAGAGGCACGUUUUCUUUUGCAUGACAUGAUUGGAGAAGGGAUGCAUCCUGAUAAGUUCACUUGUUCAGUUCUUGUACAAGGAUAUCAAAAACAGGAUAAUUUGGUUUCAGCUGUGAAUUUAGUCACCGAGCUUCAAAGAUUUAGAUUUGUAGUAUCUCAUGAUAUAUACAAUUAUCUUAUUGCUGCACUUUGUAUUGAGAAUCGACCAUUUGCAGCCAAAGCUCUAAUUGAUCGAGUAUCUGGCGACAGAUAUGAGCCUAGCAAUAUGGUCUACGGGGAGUUGAUUGAAUCUUUCUGCAGAUGCAAUUUCCCCGAUGAGGCUUCAUGCUUGAAAGCAGAGAUGGUAUCAAAAGAUUUGAAGCCUGAUAUUGGUACAUAUAGAGCUAUAAUUAAAUGUUUGUGUAAAUUAGGCCGAAGCAUGGAUGCCAACUCCUUGAUGAGAGAAAUGACUGAUUGUGAUGUGCCACCUGAUAUUGAAGUCUGUAGAGCUUUAAUAAAUGGUCAUUGUGGGGAGAACAAUUUCUGUGAGGCUCAAUCGCUGUUAAGCUUCUUUGCUCAAGAAUUUAAAAUAUUUGACACAGUUUGUUACAACACAAUUGUCAGGCUUCUAAGUGGUGAAGGUGAUAUUGCAAAAUUGAUGAAAUUUCAAGAUAAAAUGAGGAAAGUGGGUUUUGCGCCAAAUCAGCUGACAUGCAAGUACGUUAUUGAUGGAUUACAGAAAGCUGUGGGAGUCCACAAAAUCAACAGCUGAGUGCAGUAAUGAGUUCAGUCUUUGGUGGCAAUGAUUUUCUCCGUUAAGAUGACAUUGCUGCAGUGGAUCUCAAAUGACUUUAGCUUCUUUACUGAAAGGUGCUUGGAUUCACACAUCUUGAGAUUGGACACGGAGCUUCUUGAUCUUGACGUUCAGAAAUAGAGGAUCAAUCACUUCAGGGUGCAGGGUUAUGAAAUAUGAAGCUAUAUUACUUGCAGAAGGAUUGACAUUGGUUUCUGUUAGAGUUGAACUUAAGAUCCUCAGUACUAGAACCACAGAUCAAGUUUGAAUUAUAUGCUCACUGGUUCUUUGUGUUUUGUUUUCAGCUGUAUUAUGGUUCCUUCAUGGCUGACCUAAAUUUGGAAUUAUAAGUGGAUGGCUAAAGAAGGUGUCAAUUCUCAAAGAGAUGAGGAAAGGGGCUUGAACCAGCAGGCAUAAACACAGUAGUCUUUCAACCGUUACAGGGAAGAAUGGGGACAAGACAUCCGAAUGGGACAUGGAAAUCUAUACAGCAAUCAAGUGUUUGUUGUGGCAACUGGCAAGUACCUUCUAGCUUCUUCAUUCUUGUUGUUGCUCUAAUGAGUGGUGCAUGCAUGCAGACAAGUAUACUGCGUGCACAGUGAAAGAGAGAGCUGGAAAGGGUUGGCGAGGAUAGUUAAUGUGAAAGGUGAUUUCUGAUACUAGAAAAAUAUGAAUUGGUAACGCGAAAAUUGAGAGGCCUAGUAAUAUUGUCCGCUCUCUUUGAAACGUGUUGUUAGGGUGAAAAGCGUGCUUACUUAUAUACCGAGCAUCUCUUUUGUGUUUUGGCAAUGUGGAACUCUUAUUCUAAGCUAGGGUGUCAUCAGUGGCAGCAAAGUGACAUAUACUCAACACUCCUUUAUCGAAAAAUUAUACCGUGUAGCUAGGUAAGAAUAUUUUUUUAUGUAUACAUACAUAUAUAAUAUAUAGACACUCCUUGGUUUCCACAUGAUUUAUUUUGACACUCCUUAGUCGUAACUUUGAUGACUUCGCCACUGGGUGUCGCAUACUAUUAGUACUGAGGUUUUACCGAUUUGCCUAAACUUAGUUGAGCUUUGACCGACCAUCGACAAGACUGACAUAUGAAUGAUUUUGAUAUCAUUUGCAAUGUCCAUAUGACUAGUGAUAUUGUUUGCUCUAGAC